GGGAGAAAGGGAUGAGGAUGUUGGAUAAGCAGCUCAGCAUGUUCCCCAACAUGUAAGGGAAUCAGGUCGAGUUCUACACUCUCCUUCUUGGUACACAUCCUCAGAAUGCAGGAAGUGCCUGUGCUUGCUGUGAGUCUUUGUGGACAGAGGCAGGAUCAUGCUGGCUAGAAUCUAGUGGACAAGGGCAGCACAUUCCCCCUGUUCCCAGGUGGGUCCAGAGAUGUCGCCUGGGAGCCAGGGCCUGGAGUUCUGUUACUGUGGCUGAGCUUGCACCCAAGCUACAAGAUGACAUCCUACUCUUCCCUCACCUUUCUACAAGUAGAGGAGUCUCUUCUCAUGGCCACCAUUGUCCCAGGAUGUGAGGUCUGGAACAGCUGCAGCCAUUUUGCCACCAUGGGAAACCUGGGACAUCUGAACUGACUCCAUGAAGCCUGAAGAGAAAGCUAAUAAGAAGGCAGAGAGAAGAGGAAGAGUCUUGGUCUUUGGAAAUAUCUUUUGGAGCUGCUGGAUCAAGUAUCACUUGAAGGUGUCUCUUCUCACGUGGAAUCACAGCAUUGGAUGGACUGAAAAGAGGAAGAGGCUGCAAUGGAGCAGCACACCUGGUGCGUGGGGAUGCCUGGAAAACAAAAUUAGGAGAGCCCUGGGUCAGCAUUGCUCUGGCACUGGCUGGGCCGGGGGCCAUCCUGAUUCUAGAAUUAUCUUGGUUCCUGGGAUAGAAAUGUCCCCAGAGUGGAGAAGUUCAGUUCAAUCCAACAUCCUUAUAUUGCAAUGAGGAUAAAGACCACAGACCCUAUGGCCUGUAUGACCCAGCUGCCCAUUUCUAGGAACCCAUUCCUACAGAAAUGACAACAUGCGUGUGCAAACAGCAACAAUGACAAACAUACCCUGGGAUGCUUUCCCUCUGUGGUUUGUUAUAGUAAGAUAGCGGCUACAGCUUAUAUAUCAUCAACAGAGGACUGGCUAAAUGAUGGCACUUCAUUCUGCAGAAUCUUUUUUUGUAGUCAAAAAGAACAAGUUAGAUCUAUAUGUGUGAACAUGGAAAGGUGUACAUGACUUAAGUAGAAAAAUUAAGUUGCAGAACGA
RNAcentral lists this long non-coding RNA (1083 nucleotides) under Homo sapiens (human). RNAcentral's name for it is "APRG1 tumor suppressor candidate, transcript variant C (APRG1)". The record is from RNAcentral. Lineage: Eukaryota; Metazoa; Chordata; Mammalia; Primates; Hominidae.